UACGGAGGGGGUUAGCGUUGUUCGGAAUUACUGGGCGUAAAGCGUACGUAGGCGGAUCAGCAAGUAUAGGGUGAAAUCCCGGGGCUCAACCCCGGAACUGCCUUGUAAACUGUUGGUCUUGAGUUCGAGAGAGGUGAGUGGAAUUCCAAGUGUAGAGGUGAAAUUCGUAGAUAUUUGGAGGAACACCAGUGGCGAAGGCGGCUCACUGGCUCGAUACUGACGCUGAGGUACGAAAGUGUGGGGAGCAAACAGG
Molecule: ribosomal RNA, 253 nt
Filed under: uncultured bacterium
Lineage: Bacteria
Description: partial 16S ribosomal RNA
Rfam family: Bacterial small subunit ribosomal RNA
Source: RNAcentral